CCAUAACCAAUCUAUAAAUGAAAAUUUGGGUGAGUUUAUUCUGAGCUAAAAUGUGAGUACCAUGGCCUGGGGCCUUUCUUCCCAAAGGAAGAAAGGGCAUCAAAGAAGUGGGGUGUACAGAGUGGUUAUAUACCCCCAAAAAGGGUGUUUCACAUAUGAUUGAAAUGCCCUUUUUACAAUAGUCGCAAGACUGCUCUGUUGGCACAGCGACUGAUGGACACAGUAAGUAGGUCUGCUCUCUCAGUGGAAACAGCAGGGUGGCAGGUCUGUUGUCUCGAGCUGGGGGGUGACAGGUGAGCUGAGUGGUCAAAGGCAAGCCUAGCAAUCAGUUCCUAGCUUAAGAAAAGAUGCUUAUCCUUAAGGAAAUGCCAAUGUAGGGGGAAGUUGCACCUUUAUCUUAAGGCCAUUUGUUCUUGCCAUAGGAAAUGUUUAAAGCAGAUAUACAAUGCAUGCUCAAUGGCCUCAUCAGUCCCUUUUGGAAAAACAAAGUCAGGCUGAAUUAGGUUUACACCAAAUGGCUUCCUCAUAUACUCCAAUAUAUCCUAUUGCUUGCCAUUUCUAUUUGUCAUGUUGAACAACCUCAUUCCAUGGCUCAUAUUCAAGAGGAGAAUCCCAGCCCUGCCCACAGAUGACUCCUCAGCCCACCUGCAAGAGGAGUGGGCUGGAACCAAACCUGCAAUAUCUCCAAGGUGUGUCUAUACCUAAGAACACGGCUUCUCACAGACCUGACUCCCCUACACAAACAAGACGUGGAUAGCCACCAAGUUCCCUCCCACAUAUGCAGAGAAGAUUCCCUCGCACCAUUAAUGCGUGUGACUUGCUUCAGUCAACGGAACGUGAGCAAAUGUACACAAGGAGAAGGCUUAAACGUGCUCCUGUGGGUUGCUGUGGCCUCUGGAGCCCCCUGAUGACCACUGGAGCAGUAGGCUCCAAGAGUCACUGCACCUUCAGCUGGGGCCCCAGGACAAGAUUCAGGGAGCACACCAGCACCCAUCCUGAGGCUGGAAGCAGAGCCACCCCAGCUGACCUGUGGGAACGAAAAAUGAAUCCUUGCUAUUGUGAACUACUGAGAGUUGGAGCAGUUUGUUUACAAGCCUUAUCGAAGCGGGAGCUGACUAAUACACCAUUGGAGGCCUUAAAUCAAAGGAAUAAAGUAAUCUGAAUUGUGUCUUAGUAGGCCCACUCUGACAGCUGUUUAGAGAGUAGAAGGAAGAAAGACGAGAGUGGAAACAGACCAGUUUGGAGGCUACUGUGAGAAUCUGGAUGAGGGAUGGCGGUGCCUUAGAUCAG
This 1290-nucleotide long non-coding RNA is filed under the name Equus caballus (horse). RNAcentral describes it as "lncRNA (ENSECAG00000059365.1)". Lineage: Eukaryota; Metazoa; Chordata; Mammalia; Perissodactyla; Equidae. The record is from RNAcentral.